UGAAGGCAGAAAGAAAUGAAAAUAUAGAAAACAUAACUAAAAGAGAAUAAACAACCAAUUACCAUUUACCGUUCCAAAGACCUUCAUCGUCGAAUUUCAAGAACAAUGAAGGUCUUUGAAAGAUACUUUUGUCA
This 134-nucleotide small RNA is filed under the name Arabidopsis thaliana (thale cress). RNAcentral's name for it is "ATSL286090". Lineage: Eukaryota; Viridiplantae; Streptophyta; Magnoliopsida; Brassicales; Brassicaceae. The record is from RNAcentral.